GAUGAACGCUGGCGGCGUGCUUAACACAUGCAAGUCGAACGGUGAAGCAGGAGCUUGCUCUUGUGGGUCAGUGGCGAACGGGUGAGUAACACGUGAGCAACCUGCCCCUGACUCUGGGAUAAGCGCUGGAAACGGCGUCUAAUACUGGAUAUGUGAUGUGACCGCAUGGUCUGCAUCUGGAAAGAAUUUCGGUUGGGGAUGGGCUCGCGGCCUAUCAGCUUGUUGGUGAGGUAAUGGCUCACCAAGGCGUCGACGGGUAGCCGGCCUGAGAGGGUGACCGGCCACACUGGGACUGAGACACGGACCAGACUCCUACGGGAGGCAGCAGUGGGGAAUAUUGCACAAUGGGCGGAAGCCUGAUGCAGCAACGCCGCGUGAGGGAUGACGGCCUUCGGGUUGUAAACCUCUUUUAGCAGGGAAGAAGCGAAAGUGACGGUACCUGCAGAAAAAGCACCGGCUAACUACGUGCCAGCAGCCGCCGUAA
Molecule: ribosomal RNA, 484 nt
Filed under: uncultured bacterium
Lineage: Bacteria
Description: partial 16S ribosomal RNA
Rfam family: Bacterial small subunit ribosomal RNA
Source: RNAcentral